AAGUCGUAACAAGGUAACCGUAGGUGAACCUGCGGUUGGAUCAUUAACAAAAUGAUAAAAGUCCUGACCAUAAAAAGUCUGGGGCUUUUAUAAACACCUGUGAACUGUAAUUGUAUCUGGUGGGAGUUAAAUCCCACUGUCAAUAAUUUGAACUUUUAAUAUUUCAUGAAUUAGUUUUUAAAUUUAUUUAAUUUAUAACAACUUUUGACAACGGAUCUCUAGGCUCUCG
RNAcentral lists this unclassified non-coding RNA (229 nucleotides) under fungal sp. RNAcentral's name for it is "partial internal transcribed spacer region". The stretch from base 1 to 46 matches the Rfam family "Eukaryotic small subunit ribosomal RNA", at positions 1786 to 1831 of the family's 1831-position model. Lineage: Eukaryota; Fungi. The record is from RNAcentral.